AGGCGUUUGUAGCCACUUUUAAGUUUUAUCAGCUAGUUCAUGCUUGCGUUGAAAGAGUGGUCGUUUGCGCUGGGUCAUCACUGUGUAGUAUUGGGGAUACUUAGGUGAGAAAAAAACUUAACGCUAGAGACGUUCACGCACUAGUGGAGAAGCCAGGAUUGUUGCCCUAGAGUUACAGUAGAUAAAAGUACCUCAGAGAACUGCGGGGGCUCCCAACCUGGACGCUUGCACCGGAGUAUUAAAUCCAGCUAGAGAAUGGCAUGUGCAAAGAUACAGAGCUACAGUCAAAUGGGCAGCUGAAGAUGAUGAUGAUGAUGAUCUUGACACCGAGAAGCAGAAGACCAAUGAAGAUGACCAGACAGCAAAAAAGGAUAAGUUAAAAGAAGGGUCUCGCUCUGUAUCCCAGGCUGGAGUUCAGUGGCACGAUCUCCGCUCGCUGCAACCUCCGCCUCCUGGGUUCAAGUGAUUCUCCUGCCUCAGCCUCCCAAGUAGCUGGAUUACAGGGCCUUCUUACAGAUGGAUAAAUGCGGCACUGGCUAGCGGUACAGAGAGAUGGAGCCCAGGAGAAAACUGCUGCUCUUUUGUCCUGGCUGGAAAAUCCUCCUAUGGCCUCCUUUAGUACACAUCAGCUGACUCUUCACUUGUCAUAAUAAACCGCCUGUCUGCAGCUCAAAAUGGCAAGAAAAAAGGUGGUUCUGUUCAGAGGACACUGGAUUCCAAAAGGUGGACUUCAUCAUGGGGGGAAUCAAGUCCUGCUACACAAUUAAUACAGAUUAGUAUAGUCCCCUGCCUCGCACCACUGGCGAGAUGCCCUCCAAGACCUGGCUGACAUGAGCUUCCUGGGACUCCCCAUCUCCAGUGUUGUUGGGGUCCUUUUACCUGUACCGUAUUAAUCGAAUAAUCUUAUUGUUCAUAAAAUCCAGAGCAUGUGGGUGAGAAGAAUCGAUGCAGAAGCCAUCGCUCAGAGCGAUUUUCAGUACCUCUUCCACGAAGACCUGGAAGCUGUUGAUCUGCUUGUUGGCGGGCACCACCCAGAGCCUCUUGAGGUUCUGCUUGGUGUACUCCUCCUCUGGCAGGCCCUCCACAUUGGCCACCCAGUCCAGAGUCAGGUGGUUGGGGUCCUGCAAGUGGCUGGUGAUGGAGGAGAGAUUGCCAUUGGAGCAGUAGAAGAGCUUAGAGCCAAGGAGCUUGAGGAAGAGGCAGGAGGUGCUGAAGAUGUUGGCGUUGAAGACCUCCAUGCUGGAAGAGGAGAGGCUGUAGAUCUGGGGUGCCUCGCGCACAGUGAAGUGGACCGUCUGCACACGCUGGUUCAGUGUGAUGUUGAGCAUGGCAUUCUUCUCGGCCUUGGAGAGCUCCACUUCCUUCUCCUGCAGGGCCUCAAUCAGGGGCUGCACCUGGUAGAAGUCGGCCUCCCUGCGGAGCAGCCCCAUCUCCUGGAAGUCCUCAGGCAGGUCAAGGUGGGAGGUCCGCAGGAAGUUGAGGAUAUAGCGGAACACUUUGCCGUCACGGUCAAUGAAGCAGUUGCCCUGGCUGUCCCUCUUGGUGGGCAUCUUCCCGCUGAACAUGGCGCCUAGCAUGGAGUCAGGGAAGCUGGUCAGGGUCGCCAGUGAGGUUGUAUAGAGCUUCCCCCCGACGUUCAGCGUGAUGGGGUCGGACAUGGCAGGAGACUGGGUUGCUGGAAGUAGUCCUGGAGAGGGUGAGAAGUGAGAAAUGACUAUAACCAAACCUUAUCAGAGAACUCACAGUCCUUAACUCCUUAUUGUACAUCAAGCCUAUGCCCUUGGGAUCGAAAUGAAUUAAUACCUGAUGAAUGGGUGAUAAUUGCUAACACUGUGCAAAGUACAUUAGCUUCACUAGGGAGAGGGAAAGGAGAAAGGGAAAAGGAAAGGAAAAAGGAAACAGGGAAAGAAAGGGAAGGACCCCUAAAGCCUGGGUCCCCCGCGCCCCCCUCUGCUGCCGACAUUCUAUUUUAAUUGGUCUGGAAUACUGCCCCAGCCCUGGUAUUUUGAAAGAGUUCCCUUAGUGAUUCUAAAUGUUCAGUUAGAAUAGAGAACCACUGGUCUAAAGAAAGAAAGGAAAACGUGCCUGGACUGAAAGCUAUGCUACGUGUUUAUACAUAUAUUUGCUUACAUAAUAGUUGUAUCAGCCAGGUGCGGUGGCUCACACCUGUAAUCCCAGCACUUAGGGAGGCCGAGGCGGGCAGAUCACCUGAGAUCAGGAGUUCAAGAUCAGACUGGCCAACAUGGUGAAACCCCAUCUCUACUAAAAAUACAAAAAUUAGCUGGGCAUGGUGGUGGGUGCCUGUAAUCCCAGCUGUUCAGGAGGCUGGGGCAGGAGAAUCAUUUGAACUCAGGA
This is a long non-coding RNA of Homo sapiens (human), 2355 nucleotides long. Ensembl annotates it as KCTD21 antisense RNA 1. Its record names the gene KCTD21-AS1. The record is from Ensembl. NCBI's taxonomy places the organism in Eukaryota, Metazoa, Chordata, Mammalia, Primates, Hominidae.